ACCAAAAUGGUUUGUGCUGGAUGCCUGGUUUCUGGACAAAUUUUCCAUCUUCCUAGAAAAAAAAUACUUAAGGAAGAUUUGUUGUUUUCUAAGAGACUUCCUAAUUCUUUCUUGGAACAGCAGAUUGAGCUCUGGUGUUUGGAGACCUGCCCUAGCAGCCUGUAGAAAUACUUUUCUUAGUCACGGGAGCAGCUAACAACGAUGCAGCCCUCUCUGCCAGACAGGAAGUGCCAGGCCAUUUGUCACCCACCAUCUCUCGGAGCACACAGACAAAUGGACAGUGGUGACACAGCCAGAUGGGUCCUUUGACAAGAGGGAAGCACAGAGGUCCUGAGAACACAGGCAAGGGCCCCAACCUGAACCCACCCUGUGCCACUUCCUACCCUAUAGUGUCUGGAGAC
Fukomys damarensis (Damara mole-rat) is the source of this 401-nucleotide long non-coding RNA. RefSeq lists it as uncharacterized. NCBI's taxonomy places the organism in Eukaryota, Metazoa, Chordata, Mammalia, Rodentia, Bathyergidae. The record is from RefSeq and is a predicted model, not a curated record. The transcript has 3 exons.